AUGCUGGCACAACAACAUGGUCCUAUUGGGGAUGGUGAAGAAACAAACCCCACUGUCAGUUCUCCAAACCCUACUGGGGAUGAUGCGCCUCCUGCUCUCGUCCUCUGUUCGUCCGUCCACCUCGCUCCAGCCGCCGCCUCUCGUCCUCGGUUCGUCGUUCCGCCUCUCUCCACCCGUCGUUGCACUGCUUCUGUAGACCACCAUGAAGGUGGUUGUUGGUUGAGUGUGAGAGCUGUAGUUCUUCGUCGAUCGCUGAUCUUGUUCGUCAAUGAAUUCUGCGGCUGUCAUCGUCACCAAGAAAUCGCACUAAUUGGUUCGUCGUCAGAUUUGCCUUGCUGUUUCUUCUGCUCAAACGAUCAUCUUUGUGUUGAGGAAUUGGCGUCAUCAAUUGAUACUCGAGUUUACCUUGUUAUUUGA
Molecule: ribosomal RNA, 417 nt
Filed under: Triticum aestivum (bread wheat)
Lineage: Eukaryota; Viridiplantae; Streptophyta; Magnoliopsida; Poales; Poaceae
Description: partial small subunit ribosomal RNA
Source: RNAcentral